Molecule: long non-coding RNA, 672 nt
Organism: Cuculus canorus (common cuckoo)
Lineage: Eukaryota; Metazoa; Chordata; Aves; Cuculiformes; Cuculidae
Exons: 3
Source: RefSeq, a predicted model, not a curated record
UGCUCUGCCCCUCCAGGCGCGGGGCGGGGCGCGCGCUCGCUCCCUCUCUCUCUUCCCCUCCCCUUUCCCCGGGCUCUAAAGCCCGGCCGCCCGCGAGCGCCGGGCGGGCAGUGCGAGCUCGUCCCCCCGCAGCAGCGCAGCAGCCGCCCGGCUCCGGGCUGCAGCUGUUGUUGCCAUGAUGAUGAUGUCACGGACGUAACCAUUGAGGGAAUGCGGGGGGGGGAGGAGGUGCGUUUCUCCCCCCUCCCCUCCUUAGCGCACCCGCCUCCCCCGCCCCGUGCUGCCGGUGGGCGUGGGGGAAACCCUCCCAGCGCUGUAUCUUCCCUCCCCUCGGUGUUUCGGUGAUCGGCCACCCGGGCUGUGGAACGCCGAGCGGCGGAUGAGCCGGGCUGGGAGCGCUGCCGGGACGCGCUGGGGUUAAGCUGGGUCGGCCGCCAUUUUGGAUGCGAGGCCGCCUCGCCUCGGGAAGGUCUGGCUGUUGUCUCCUAUCAGAACAUCCCACCAGCGAACGCGUGUACAGGAAAACGCAUAACUUAUUUAAAAAUCUAGAGGAAAGAGUUCUAUCCCAUCAGCUUCAGAAACAGACGUUCAACAUGGUAGGAAACAAGCUGAGCCUCAGUUACCCAAGACAACCAAUUCCUUUAGCAGAAAGAGUGUCUUCUGUCAUCAGAA